This 17-nucleotide non-coding RNA is filed under the name Mus musculus (house mouse). Lineage: Eukaryota; Metazoa; Chordata; Mammalia; Rodentia; Muridae. The record is from RNAcentral.
AGAUUGCCAUAAGGGCA